UGCUGUUGAUGCCGCUGCCAUUGUUAUUUCGUGGAGCUGAGGCUUCGGGGAUCGGGAUCAGGGCUAGGCAUCGGCUGAAAGAAAAGACGAGCGUGCAACGCCCACACACUUGACUGGUCCGCUCUGCCACCUCUCGCCUUUCGAUUGUCAGCUCAACUUAACGCCCGCCGCCGAGGGGCGUGGCACAUUAGUGGCAACAGCACGGCGAUACAGAAAAAAAGAGAGAAAAUAAAGCGUAGAACAGAAAAACCAGCGAAUACAUGAUUGUCAACACGCACACUCCCAACAACCGAGGCAGCGCCAACACGGCGUAUGAGUAAUAUGUCCGGCUGCCUCGAUGGCGGUGCUGCCUGCACCAUGUCAACAUGCAAAACAACAAUGGGGCGGAAGUGCAUUGUAAACGUACCGAGCACUGCGCCCCAAAAAAUGCCACCCCAUAUACCGCCACAAAUUCCCACCUCUCGAUGGGUGAGUGCAAUUAUAAUUUGGUAAAUCGACGGAAGUUCGGAUAAACAUACGCAAAACGUUUGCCUGCUCCUGCAGCCGACAAGGAUGAAAAAAGGCGAAAAUGGUUCACCCCGCAGGCCAAUGAGUUUUUGCGUCGAUGGUGGGAACACGUGAAAAUAUUUGGUAGAAUUUUGUAUUGAUAAAAACAUAAGAAAAUACUUUAAAUUAAGUGGAAAUGGAACUCAACAUCCCAG
Molecule: non-coding RNA, 701 nt
Organism: Drosophila melanogaster (fruit fly)
Lineage: Eukaryota; Metazoa; Arthropoda; Insecta; Diptera; Drosophilidae
Source: Ensembl